UGGUCAAGUUAUUAAGGGUGCAGGGCGGAUGCCUUGGCACUAGGAGCCGAUGAAGGACGUGAUAAGCUGCGAUAAGCUUCGGGGAGUUGCACGUAAACUUUGAUCCGAAGAUUUCCGAAUGAGGAAACUCACUUAGAGUAAUGUCUAAGUAUCAUUAAGUGAAUACAUAGCUUAAUGAGGGGAACUCAGGGAACUGAAACAUCUAAGUACCUGAAGGAAGAGAAAGAAAUUCGAUUCCGUAAGUAGCGGCGAGCGAACGCGGAUUAGCCCAAACUAAUAAAGUUUUCUUUAUUGGGGUUGCGGACAUAUCAUAACGAAGAGGUAUCGUAAUUGAAGAGGUUUGGAAAGACCCACCACAGAAGGUAAUAGUCCUGUAUGUUAAACGAGAAGACUUUAGAUAUGAUCCAGAGUACCACGGGACACGUGAAACCCUGUGGGAAGCAGGAGGGACCACCCUCCAAGGCUAAAUACUACCUAGUGACCGAUAGCGUAUAGUACCGUGAGGGAAAGGUGAAAAGAACCCCGGGAGGGGAGUGAAAUAGAACCUGAAACCCUGCACUUACAAGCUGUGGAAGCACAUUUCUUGUGUGACCGCGUACUUUUUGUAGAACGGGCCAACGAGUUACGUUAAGUAGCAAGGUUAAGCACUUAAGGUGUGGAGCCGUAGCGAAAGCGAGUUUUAACUGAGCGUUCAGUUACUUGACGUAGACCCGAAACCGGGCGACCUACCCAUGAGCAGGAUGAAGCGAAAGUAAAAUUUCGUGGAGGUCCGAACCCACGAGCGUUGAAAAGCUCGGGGAUGACUUGUGGGUAGCGGUGAAAUUCCAAUCGAGCCCGGAGAUAGCUGGUUCUCCCCGAAAUAGCUUUAGGGCUAGCCUCAAGGUGAGAGAUACGGAGGUAGAGCACUGAAUGUCCUAGGGGGUAUUGCACCUACCGAAGACUAUCAAACUCCGAAUGCCGUCAUCUUAUACUUGGGAGUCAGACUGUGGGUGAUAAGAUUCAUAGUCGAAAGGGCAACAGCCCAGAUCGUCAGCUAAGGUCCCUAAAUGUAAGUUAAGUGGUAAAGGAUGUGGGAUUGCACAGACAACCAGGAUGUUGGCUUAGAAGCAGCCACUCAUUCAAAGAGUGCGUAAUAGCUCACUGGUCGAGUGAUCCUGCGCCGAAGAUUUCCGGGGCUAAAACUUACUACCGAAGCUACGGCAUCAGUAAUGAUGGGUAGGGGAGCUUCCCAUACGGGUUGAAGCAUGACCGUAAGGACAUGUGGACAGUAUGGGAGUGAGAAUGUUGGCAUGAGUAGCGAGAUGUGGGUGAGAAUCCCACAGGCCGUAAACCCAAGGUUUCCAGGGGAAGGUUCGUCCGCCCUGGGUUAGUCGGGACCUAAGCUGAGGCCGAAAGGCGUAGGUGAUGGACAACAGGUUGAUAUUCCUGUACUACCGAUAACCGUUUGAGAGAUGGGAUGACACAGUAGGAUAAGCUAAGCACACUGUUGGUUAUGUGUGCCCAAGCAUUGAGGCAGUCAAAGUAGGCAAAUCCGCUUUGAUAAUGCUGGGAUGUGAUGGGGAGCGAAAUUUAGUAGCGAAGUAGCUGAUUUCACACUGUCAAGAAAAGUCUCUAUCGAGGUUAAAGGUACCCGUACCGCAAACCGACACAGGUGGGUGAGGAGAGUAUCCUAAGGCCAGCGAGAGAACUGUUGUUAAGGAACUCGGCAAAAUGACCCCGUAACUUAGGGAUAAGGGGUGCCACCAUCAGGUGGCCGCAGAGAAUAGGCCCAAGCGACUGUUUACCAAAAACAUAGGUUUCUGCUAAGUCGCAAGACGAUGUAUAGGAGCUGACGCCUGCCCGGUGCUGGAAGGUUAAGGGAUCUGUUAGAGCAAUCGAAGCAGUGAACUUAAGCCCCAGUAAACGGCGGCCGUAACUAUAACGGUCCUAAGGUAGCGAAAUUCCUUGUCGGGUAAGUUCCGACCCGCACGAAAGGCGUAACGAUUUGGGCACUGUCUCAACAACAGACUCGGUGAAAUUGUAAUUCCGGUGAAGAUGCCGGAUACCUGCGACAGGACGGAAAGACCCCAUGGAGCUUUACUGUAGCUUGACAUUGGGUCUUGGUACUACAUGUACAGGAUAGGUGGGAGGCUUUGAAACCAGGACGCCAGUUUUGGCGGAGCCAUCCUUGGGAUACCACCCUUGUAGUACUGGGACUCUAACCAUAGGCCAUGAAUCUGGUCUUGGGACACUGUCAGGUGGGCAGUUUGACUGGGGCGGUCGCCUCCCAAAAGGUAACGGAGGCGCUCAAAGGUUCUCUCAGUACGGUCGGAAAUCGUACGUAGAGUGUAAAGGCAAAAGAGAGCUUGAUUGCAAGACAUACAGGUCGAGCAAGGAUGAAAAUCGGACUUAGUGAUCCGGUGGUUCUGCGUGGAAGGGCCAUCGCUCAACGGAUAAAAGCUACCCUGGGGAUAACAGGCUUAUCUCCCCCAAGAGUCCACAUCGACGGGGAGGUUUGGCACCUCGAUGUCGGCUCAUCACAUCCUGGGGCUGUAGUAGGUCCCAAGGGUUGGGCUGUUCGCCCAUUAAAGUGGUACGCGAGCUGGGUUCAGAACGUCGUGAGACAGUUCGGUCCCUAUCCGUCGCAGGCGUAGGAAAUUUGAGAAGACCUGUCCUUAGUACGAGAGGACCGGGAUGGACGUACCUCUGGUGUACCAGUUGUCCUGCCAAGGGCAUGGCUGGGUAGCUAUGUACGGAAUGGAUAAGCGCUGAAAGCAUCUAAGCGCGAAGCCAACUUCAAGAUAAGAUUUCCCACCGCAAGGGUAAGACCCCAGAAAGACUAUCUGGUUGAUAGGUCGAAGGUGUAAGUGCAGCAAUGUAUUUAGCUUAUCGAUACUAAUAGGUCGAGGACUUGACCAAU
Molecule: ribosomal RNA, 2899 nt
Filed under: Clostridioides difficile
Lineage: Bacteria; Bacillati; Bacillota; Clostridia; Peptostreptococcales; Peptostreptococcaceae
Description: bacterial LSU rRNA
Rfam family: Bacterial large subunit ribosomal RNA
Source: RNAcentral